UCGGGAAUUUUGGGCAAUGGACGAAAGCCUGACCCAGCAACGCCGCGUGAGGGAUGAAGUAUUUCGGUAUGUAAACCUCGAAAGAAUGGGAAGAAUAAAUGACGGUACCAUUUAUAAGCUCCGGCUAACUACGUGCCAGCAGCCGCGGUAAUACGUAGGGAGCAAGCGUUGUUCGGAUUUACUGGGCGUAAAGGGCGCGUAGGCGGCGCGGUAAGUCACUUGUGAAAUCUCUGAGCUUAACUCAGAGCGGCCAAGUGAUACUGCUGUGCUAGAGUGCGGAAGAGGCAACCGGAAUUCUGGGUGUAGCGGUGAAAUGCGUAGAUAUCAAGAGGAACACCUGAGGCGAAGGCGGGUUGCUGGGCCGACACUGACGCUGAUGCGCGAAAGCCAGGGGAGCAAACG
RNAcentral lists this ribosomal RNA (402 nucleotides) under uncultured bacterium. RNAcentral's name for it is "bacterial SSU rRNA". It matches the Rfam family "Bacterial small subunit ribosomal RNA", at positions 355 to 774 of the family's 1533-position model. The record is from RNAcentral.